UCCAGCUGAAACAGCAAUUAGGAAGGAGGCCUUACUGCAGGAUACUAACUUACUAUUUCAUAGAUAGUCUGUGUAGGACAGGCCCUGUUGACUACAGAACUGUAACUGAAAAACAUGCAAAAUCUUUAACUGUUCUGAGCUACAUUGUGCCCUAAGUUAUGUCUGCCACUUUAAUAUGCUGAGGUUACUUGAGGAUAAAGACAGCAUUUGGCCUAUUAUAGUUGAGGGGAAUUUGUUGCAUUUUCCUGGUUGUAGCAUAGAUACUGAAAUGAGUUCUAUAGUAACUCCAAAAUGCAAUAUAUUGGUUACUAACAUUAAUAGUGAAUAUGGGAUUCCUCAUAAAUACUGAGUUGUUAUUCAAAUUGUUUUAGCGUUAACUCAAGCAAAGACUUGACCCAUGCAGUGUUACUGUUACGGUUUUAAUGAAGUAGAGAAACAGGCAAAAUAUAUCUCCCAUAGCAAGGGGUUGAGAGAAGUGGUGCAGGUUUUUUGUUUUUGUUUUUUUUUCUUUUUACCCCUAGUUUUGGCUCAGAUGGGUGUUCAUUCUCAACUCUUCCACAGAUUUUCUCUGUAAGUUUUGGGUUAAUUCUUAAGGCUUUGACUGACACCACCCAGAAGAGCUCAUUGUGCUUCCUCGCUUCCCUGCUUGUCCCUUCGCUGAGAUUUCCACCAUGCCACAGAGACCUCAGGGCUUCUCUUUUGUGUCAAUGCACGUGUGCUGCUUUUAGCUCUUUGUAUUGAUAGGCCUCACUGUGAAGGGAAAUGGGAGGCCUGGGCACUGGUCUAACUUUGCUAUAUGGCCAGCAAGUCAAGAGCAGGGUUAAAGUCUGUGACAUACAGCCUUUUACACUGCUAUUGCUAAGUUGACAGCUUUUUCACAUCCUUAGUGCCUGUUUCCAUAUGCAAAAUAGUGAUAAUCUCCCUAGUGAAAUAAACGGAUGCCAGCUGGGAGAGAAGCACCGUGGUCUAGCAAGUGUCUGGUCAAUUCACUUGUUCUGACAGUGCUGAUGUGGCAAAUGUAUUUUUUAUGUUAAUGCCAAAUACAAACUCUGUUCUGAUUUUUAAUGCAUGUGUGUUUCUUUCAGCUUUUUGCAUUGUAAAAUAAUUGCUUAGUACUGGAAAAAAGAAGAAAUCAUAUUCUGCACAGCUCUUUGUUUAAUUGAAAACAAAAUAUUGAGGAAUCAAAAGUGGACUAAUGAAAAAGUGGACUUUAGCUAUUUGUGAAAUUCAGUGCCUUAUGUCCAAAGCCCAGAUCCAGGAGGCGGUUGCUGUCCCGAACAGCCAAGCGUGGGCAGAUGCCUGACAGCAUGGGAGUAGAGAGCACUUGCAUUCAGCCCCUGGAGGUGCUGCACAGCUGUUUUUAACUUCUGUAGAUCUUCUUGAUACCUGUGGGAGUUGCGUGCACAGCUAGAUGUAAUGGUCUCUGCAGGUGAAAAUUCGGAAAAUAUUUGUCUGUCUACCAACGCGGCUUCAGAAUAAGCAGGAUUGUGAACCUCAUCUAGCAAAUGAGAAGAAAUAGUUUUGUCGUACCAAGUAGAGUCUCCUACCAGCAGAGGACACUCGCUCUAUGCUGCAUUACAAAGUCAUGGUCAACUAAGGCAGAAUUAGAAGUCCAGAUCUUCUGCAGCCAAGAUGGAUCUGAGAGGGGGACAUUCAGGAGGUCUGGGACCCUGUUUCCAGCGUGUGACUGGGCUGGACAGGUAGUCUUUUCUUUCUAAGGAAGAGUAGAAGACAGAGGUGUAAACCCCGGGAGCAUGUCCAGCAGCAUCAGAGACUGGAUGUGCCAGGAGGAGGCAGUUGGCUUGGCAGUACUUGGAGUCCAACAAAAAUGGGAAGAAACAUAUGGAGUUAACUUGCAGAAUGCUGAUCUCAGCAUCUUUAGCAGCCAAAAUAUGUAUGGCUUCAGUACUGGUCUCCUUUUUAUGGCUGUGUCCAUUUUGUUACCUCACAUUCUGAUACUGUAGAGCAACUUGUGACCUAGCGCACCUUCUUCCAGAGAGCUAGUAUUACAAAGUUAAAGAAAUACAUACUUCCAGAUCUCCUGAGAUAUUGGCUCCUGCAAGAAUGCCAGUGGCAGCUGGGAAGAAAAUGGCAAACACCGAGAAAAAUCCUUCUCCAUCUCUGAAAUCUGGUCCAAAGUUUUCUGCAAAUAUUGAUGCUGAAAAUAUAGAUGAAAAUGGAACAUAUGACCAGGAUUUGAUUCCAAAGUUACUUAAUGAAGGAGGUUUACCUUUGCUUCCCAUUCCAUGCCAGCGACAGAGAUGCCAAGAAGACAUACAACAGUUAUGGUGCCUAUUAUUCUGAUGUCAUUGAAUUCAUCUACCAUGAUCGUAUCACUCUCCUGAAAAGGCAGAAAUAUUUACUCAUCUUCCAAGGAGUAGCUGAAAUGUAAAAGGUUUUGCAAAGAGUUAUACAGGAAGGUAUUUGAUGCAUAUCAGUGGAUAUCACCUGUCUUUAAAAUAAGAGGAAGAGAUGCCUCGCAUUCAGUUUGUCCAAGGACAUCCAACCUGAAAUGCUCUGAAUAAGAAUGACCUGCUGAAAGCAGUGCCUUCUCCGUUAGCCACUCUCUCGACUGAGCUGGUGUUCACGGCUAUGUUCUGAAGGAUCACACAGAAAACAAAAACGUUUUUGUGCCAAGCAGAUGACACCUGGCUGCAUAAGAGAGACAUGGAAUAAAGGAACUCCAAAGAAGAUUGGGUUUUACUGCCUCUGAACUACAGUGCAAUAUUCUGCUCACAGCAGGUAUCAGCAGACAGCAGGAGAACUGGAAGCACUGGGACAUCAGAAGAGGCAAAGGACAAAGGGCAGGAUUCUAAGUCAUCUGUUGAUUGAUUCAUUCCCCACAUAAAAAACACUGGCAUAAAGAAAGGCACCCUAACAUCCUGCUGUGAAACAGAAGACCGUUGGAAGCCCUUGUGAGACCAGAAGAAACAUUCGGAGUCCAAGAGAAAAUAUGAAUUAGGAAAAUAACUUGGCACAGACCACUGAGGUUAGGAGUGUGGAGGUAUGUGCGGGCCGUCUGGCUGCACCCAUGAGGACGAGGGGAAGAACCAUGGGCGUUGUGAGGAAGCCUGAAGAAAGAUGUUGAAAUUCUUAAUAAUAUUCUAGUAGCAUCACCAGCCCAACUCUGCUAAUGUUUGGUGUGGACUGAGGAUCCUUGCCCCAGCUCUUUGGUGGCUUGGAUGUCUUUUUUCCGACUUAACUUUCACUCUCAUGUUUUCAGAAAUAUUGAGAUCAGAUAAUUCCAGACUUUCCUGGCAAAGUAGCCAGUAAAUAAAGACUUCAUCAAGAAUCUUCCUUAUA
Long non-coding RNA from Dromaius novaehollandiae (emu), 3303 nucleotides. RefSeq lists it as uncharacterized. The record is from RefSeq and is a predicted model, not a curated record. The transcript has 13 exons. NCBI's taxonomy places the organism in Eukaryota, Metazoa, Chordata, Aves, Casuariiformes, Dromaiidae.